GGGCUGGGGCUCAGUGGUAGAACGCUCGCCUUGCAAGUGUGAGGCACUGAGUUUGAGCCUCAGCACCACA
Molecule: transfer RNA, 70 nt
Filed under: Marmota monax (woodchuck)
Lineage: Eukaryota; Metazoa; Chordata; Mammalia; Rodentia; Sciuridae
Description: tRNA.Ala
Source: RNAcentral